This 425-nucleotide ribosomal RNA is filed under the name uncultured bacterium. RNAcentral describes it as "partial 16S ribosomal RNA". It matches the Rfam family "Bacterial small subunit ribosomal RNA", at positions 354 to 796 of the family's 1533-position model. The record is from RNAcentral.
GUUAGGAAUAUUGGACAAUGGGCGCAAGCCUGAUCCAGUCAUGCCGCGUGAGUGAUGAAGGCCUUCGGGUUGUAAAGCUCUUUAGCCGAUGAUUAUAAUGACUGUAGUCGGAAAAUAAGCCCCGGCUAACUUCGUGCCAGCAGCCGCGGUAAUACGAAGGGGGCGAGCGUUAUUCGGAAUCACUGGGCGUAAAGCGUGCGUAGGCGGUUUUGUAAGUUAGGAGUGAAAGCCCAGGGCUCAACCUUGGAAUUGCUCUUAAAACUGCAAGGCUCGAAUCUCGGAGAGGAUAGCGGAAUUUCCAGUGUAGCAGUGAAAUGCGUAGAUAUUGGAAGGAACACCAGUGGCGUAAGCGGCUAUCUGGACGAGUAUUGACGCUGAGGCACGAAAGCGUGGGGAUCAAACAGGAUUAGAAACCCCAGUAGUCC